RNAcentral lists this ribosomal RNA (468 nucleotides) under uncultured bacterium. RNAcentral's name for it is "partial 16S ribosomal RNA". It matches the Rfam family "Bacterial small subunit ribosomal RNA", at positions 28 to 507 of the family's 1533-position model. The record is from RNAcentral.
GACGAACGCUGGCGGCGUGCUUAACACAUGCAAGUCGAACGGAAAGGCCCUGCUUUUGUGGGGUGCUCGAGUGGCGAACGGGUGAGUAACACGUGAGUAACCUGCCCUUGACUUUGGGAUAACUUCAGGAAACUGGGGCUAAUACCGGAUAGGAGCUCCUGCUGCAUGGUGGGGGUUGGAAAGUUUCGGCGGUUGGGGAUGGACUCGCGGCUUAUCAGCGUGUUGGUGGGGUAGUGGCUUACCAAGGCUUUGACGGGUAGCCGGCCUGAGAGGGUGACCGGCCACAUUGGGACUGAGAUACGGCCCAGACUCCUACGGGAGGCAGCAGGGGGGAAUAUUGCACAAUGGGCGGAAGCCUGAUGCAACAACGCCGGGUGCGGGAUGAGGGCCUUCGGGUUGAAAACCGCUUUCGCCUGUGACGAAGCGUGAGUGACGGUAAUGGGUAAAGAAGCACCGGCUAACUACGUG